Molecule: long non-coding RNA, 588 nt
Filed under: Pan troglodytes (chimpanzee)
Lineage: Eukaryota; Metazoa; Chordata; Mammalia; Primates; Hominidae
Description: lincRNA
Source: RNAcentral
AGGAAAAGAAGAAAGCUGAAAACACACUGAGGAUUAUGGGAGAGGGGCAAGUGCAUGAAGCUUCUCAAUGACAUACAGACACUCUAAAAGCUCAAGAGAUCAAUUAUUCAACUUCAAGAACUGAAAUUUGAACACAGAUUUUGAGCUUCCAAAUCAGGAGAAAAAGAAGUGUUCUAUAAGAAAUUUGGACAAGACUCUGCAAGAAGUUAAGAGGUCCUUAAAGGCAACUGUGAAUUAACGGAGACUGGUUUUGAGAAAAUCAGUCCUGAUUUGUUUCUCUUGGAGUUUUCUUCUUUAUGUGAUCCUUCAUAAAAGCUGCUAAUAUGGGAAAGAUUGAAAUCAGCAAGUUUCUGGCUGUAAGCUAAAAGAGGCUCUUGAAUCAUAUUUCCGCCUGCUUAGCAAAUUUCUCUUGCGACAAUUGGAUGUUAUUUGGGGUUCCAUACUAGCAGGAAGAAGUACAAGCAAAGCUAAGUCAUUUUGAGAAUAAAUAUUAUCUCUCUAUAUAUUUGUAAAUGUUAUUUUCUUUUUUUUUUGAGGUUUAUGAUUGAUCCUUGGCAUGUGUCCCCUUGUGUAUUGCUCUACUAAAAA